AGUUAUUCGUCACGGAUGGACGUUAACAGCACUGGUGCGGGUGAAGAUAUCGCUGCCUGGUUUCUUGUUUCCAGUUAAAGAACAAGUGGCGUGCAUGUGC
This 100-nucleotide non-coding RNA is filed under the name unclassified sequences. RNAcentral describes it as "wcaG RNA". It matches the Rfam family "wcaG RNA". The record is from RNAcentral.